Molecule: unclassified non-coding RNA, 313 nt
Filed under: air metagenome
Description: partial contains small subunit ribosomal RNA, internal transcribed spacer 1, and 5.8S ribosomal RNA
Rfam family: Eukaryotic small subunit ribosomal RNA (bases 1-46)
Source: RNAcentral
AAGUCGUAACAAGGUUUCCGUAGGUGAACCUGCGGAAGGAUCAUUAUUGAAAUAAACCUGAUGGGUUGUUGCUGGUUCUCUAGGGAGCAUGUGCACGCUUGUCAUCUUUAUAUCUCCACCUGUGCACCUUUUGUAGAUCUGAAUAUCUUUCUGAAUGCCUAGCAUUUGGGUUUGAAGAUCGACUUUGUUGUCUUUCUUUACAUUUUCAGAUCUAUGUUUCUUCAUAUACCCCAAUGUAUGUUAUAGACUGUAUUAAACGGGCCUUUGUGCCUAUAAACUUAUACAACUUUCAGCAACGGAUCUCUUGGUUCUC